AAUAGAUACCCAGGUAGUCCACGCCGUAAACGAUGAGUGCUAAGUGUUAGAGGGUUUCCGCCCUUUAGUGCUGCAGCUAACGCAUUAAGCACUCCGCCUGGGGAGUACGGUCGCAAGACUGAAACUCAAAGGAAUUGACGGGGGCCCGCACAAGCGGUGGAGCAUGUGGUUUAAUUCGAAGCAACGUGAAGAACCUUACCAGGUCUUGACAUCCUCUGACAACCCUAGAGAUAGGGCUUCUCCUUCGGGAGCAGAGUGACAGGUGGUGCAUGGUUGUCGUCAGCUCGUGUCGUGAGAUGUUGGGUUAAGUCCCGCAACGAGCGCAACCCUUGAUCUUAGUUGCCAUCAUUAAGUUGGGCACUCUAAGGUGGCUGCCGGUGACAAACCGGAGGAAGGUGGGGAUGACGUCAAAUCAUCAUGCCCCUUAUGACCUGGGCUACACACGUGCUACAAUGGGCGGUACAAAGGGCAGCGAAACCGCGAGGUGGAGCCAAUCCCAUAAAGCCGCUCUCAGUUCGGAUUGCAGG
Molecule: ribosomal RNA, 527 nt
Filed under: uncultured bacterium
Lineage: Bacteria
Description: bacterial SSU rRNA
Rfam family: Bacterial small subunit ribosomal RNA
Source: RNAcentral